Molecule: non-coding RNA, 134 nt
Organism: Caenorhabditis elegans
Lineage: Eukaryota; Metazoa; Nematoda; Chromadorea; Rhabditida; Rhabditidae
Source: Ensembl
UCCUCCAAAAACAAACUCAUUUUUCACGAAGAAGCAUAAGGAAAUUUUGCAUUCGAAAUAAGCGUUCUUAUUCUUUUUCUCUCAUUUUCUUAGCCAACCAAAAUAAAUGGAUUGUACAAAGUGGUGAGACGAUG